GAUGAACGCUAGCUACAGGCUUAACACAUGCAAGUCGAGGGGUAACGAGAGGAAAGCUUGCUUUCCUUGUCGACGACCGGCGCACGGGUGAGUAACGCGUAUCCAACCUGCCCCCAACUAGGGAAUAACCUUGCGAAAGUAAGACUAAUACCCUAUAAUUUCCUCAGAUGUCAUCUGACGAGGAAUAAAGAUUUAUCGGUUGUGGAUGGGGAUGGGUCUGAUUAGCUUGUUAGUGGGGUAACGGCCCACCAAGGAAACGAUCAGUAGGGGUUCUGAGGGGAAGGUCCCCCACAUUGGAACAGAGACACGGUCCAAAGUCCUAGGGGAGGCAGAAGUGAGGAAUAUUGGUCAAUGGGCGGGAGCCUGAACCAGCCAAGUAGCGUGCAGGAUGACGGCCCUAUGGGUUGUAAACUGCUUGUAUACAGGAAUAAAGUUAGCCACGUGUGGUUAUUUGUAGGUACUGUAUGAAUAAGGACCGGCUAAUUCCGUGCCAGCCGCCGCAGUAA
This 506-nucleotide ribosomal RNA is filed under the name uncultured bacterium. RNAcentral describes it as "partial 16S ribosomal RNA". It matches the Rfam family "Bacterial small subunit ribosomal RNA", at positions 28 to 523 of the family's 1533-position model. The record is from RNAcentral.